GAACCUUACCUGGCCUUGACAUGCACAUAGUAGAAGGGUGAAAGCCUGACGAGGUAGCAAUACCAGUGUGCACAGGUGCUGCAUGGCUGUCGUCAGCUCGUGUCGUGAGAUGUUGGGUUAAGUCCCGCAACGAGCGCAACCCUUGUCCUGUGUUGCCAGUCCGCAAGGAGGGACUCGCAGGAGACCGCCAGCGAUAAGCUGGAGGAAGGUGGGGAUGACGUCAAGUCCUCAUGGCCUUUAUGUCCAGGGCUACACACGUGCUACAAUGGCCGGUACAAAGCGCAGCUAAGUCGCGAGACGGAGCCAAUCGCAAAAAACCGGUCUCAGUUCGGAUUGCAGGCUGCAACUCGCCUGCAUGAAGCUGGAAUCGCUAGUAAUGGCGUAUCAGAACGAUGCCGUGAAUACGUUCCCGGGCCUUGUCACACCGA
Molecule: ribosomal RNA, 428 nt
Filed under: uncultured soil bacterium
Lineage: Bacteria
Description: bacterial SSU rRNA
Rfam family: Bacterial small subunit ribosomal RNA
Source: RNAcentral